AACGAACGCUGGCGGCAGGCUUAACACAUGCAAGUCGAACGCCCCGCAAGGGGAGUGGCAGACGGGUGAGUAACGCGUGGGAAUCUACCCAUCUCUACGGAAUAACUCAGGGAAACUUGUGCUAAUACCGUAUACGCCCUUCGGGGGAAAGAUUUAUCGGAGAUGGAUGAGCCCGCGUUGGAUUAGCUAGUUGGGGGGGU
RNAcentral lists this ribosomal RNA (200 nucleotides) under uncultured bacterium. Its description in RNAcentral is "partial 16S ribosomal RNA". It matches the Rfam family "Bacterial small subunit ribosomal RNA", at positions 29 to 258 of the family's 1533-position model. The record is from RNAcentral.